This 250-nucleotide ribosomal RNA is filed under the name uncultured bacterium. RNAcentral describes it as "partial 16S ribosomal RNA". It matches the Rfam family "Bacterial small subunit ribosomal RNA", at positions 524 to 770 of the family's 1533-position model. The record is from RNAcentral.
GACGUAGGGCGCGAGCGUUGUCCGGAUUUAUUGGGCGUAAAGAGCUCGUAGGCGGCCUGUUGCGUCCGCUGUGAAAUCCCGGGGCUCAACCCCCGGGGCCUUGCAGUGGAUACGGGCAGGCUGGAGGCAGGCAGGGGAGAACGGAAUUCCCGGUGUAGCGGUGAAAUGACGCAGAUAUCGGGAGGAACACCGGUGGCGAAGGCGGUCUCUGGGCCUGUACUGACGCUGAGGAGCGAAAGCGUGGGGAGAA